Molecule: non-coding RNA, 72 nt
Organism: Cordylochernes scorpioides
Lineage: Eukaryota; Metazoa; Arthropoda; Arachnida; Pseudoscorpiones; Chernetidae
Source: the annotation of a GenBank genome assembly
UCCUCGGUAGUAUAGUGGUCAGUGUUCCCGCCUAUCACAUGGGCAACCAGAGUUUGAUUCUCCGCCGGGGAG